Molecule: ribosomal RNA, 75 nt
Filed under: uncultured bacterium
Lineage: Bacteria
Description: partial 16S ribosomal RNA
Source: RNAcentral
AAAGACCUUACGCUUUUGGAGUGGCCGAUGUCUGAUUAGCUAGUUGGUAAGGUAAAGGCUUACCAAGGCGACGAU